UGGGGAAUAUUGGACAAUGGGCGAAAGCCUGAUCCAGCCAUGCCGCGUGUGUGAAGAAGGUCUUCGGAUUGUAAAGCACUUUAAGUUGGGAGGAAGGGCAGUAAGCGAAUACCUUGCUGUUUUGACGUUACCGACAGAAUAAGCACCGGCUAACUCUGUGCCAGCAGCCGCGGUAAUACAGAGGGUGCAAGCGUUAAUCGGAAUUACUGGGCGUAAAGCGCGCGUAGGUGGUUCGUUAAGUUGAAUGUGAAAGCCCCGGGCUCAACCUGGGAACUGCAUCCAAAACUGGCGAGCUAGAGUAGGGGAGAGGGUGGUGGAAUUUCCUGUGUAGCGGGGAAAUGCGUAGAUAUAGGAAGGAAAACCAGUGGCGAAGGCGACCACCUGGGCUCAUACUGACACUGAGGUGCGAAAGCGUGGGGAGCAAACAGG
Molecule: ribosomal RNA, 429 nt
Filed under: Pseudomonadota bacterium
Lineage: Bacteria; Pseudomonadati; Pseudomonadota
Description: Proteobacteria bacterium partial 16S ribosomal RNA
Rfam family: Bacterial small subunit ribosomal RNA
Source: RNAcentral